AUUGAACGCUGGCGGCAUGCCUUACACAUGCAAGUCGAACGGUAACGGGCCUUCGGGUGCCGACGAGUGGCGAACGGGUGAGUAAUACAUCGGAACGUGCCCGAUCGUGGGGGAUAACGAGGCGAAAGCUUUGCUAAUACCGCAUACGAUCUACGGAUGAAAGCAGGGGACCGCAAGGCCUUGCGCGGACGGAGCGGCCGCUGGCAGAUUAGGUAGUUGGUGGGAUAAAAGCUUACCAAGCCGACGAUCUGUAGCUGGUCUGAGAGGAUGAUCAGCCACACGGGGACUGAGACACGGCCCAGACUCCUACGGGAGGCAGCAGUGGGGAAUUUUGGACAAUGGGCGCAAGCCUGAUCCAGCCAUGCCGCGUGCAGGAUGAAGGCUCUCGGGUUGUAAACUGCUUUUGUACGGAACGAAAAGCCUUCUUUUAAUACAGGAGGGUCAUGACGGUACCGUAAGAAUAAGCACCGGCUAACUACGG
Molecule: ribosomal RNA, 481 nt
Filed under: uncultured bacterium
Lineage: Bacteria
Description: partial 16S ribosomal RNA
Rfam family: Bacterial small subunit ribosomal RNA
Source: RNAcentral